This 399-nucleotide long non-coding RNA is filed under the name Olea europaea (common olive). RNAcentral's name for it is "long non-coding RNA (OEUR_LNC000003)". The record is from RNAcentral. Lineage: Eukaryota; Viridiplantae; Streptophyta; Magnoliopsida; Lamiales; Oleaceae.
GAAGCUCGGAAGGAAAAAACCUGUGACAAACAGAGUCUUAGUUCUGCUGCUGCAUUUGACAACUAUGCAAAUGGAGGAACAACAGAAUAAGCAAGGCUAUGAUCAUUCAAUUCACAGCCAAGUCAAGAAAGUCAAGAGAGAGUCUGAGAAAAAUAUUACCGGUGGAUCAGUGGCUCAUCCCAAUAUCACAAGAAUGAUCACCAGGCAACACUCGAGAUCGAGGCUUGGACUAGCCAUAGCUGGCCAAGGCCAAUCCAUUUCUGUUGCUCACCAGCAGUAGGGGAUGAGUUUUUGAUCUAACACGGUGAUUUUAGAGUUUUCCAGUGGUAAUGGAACAAUUGGAUUUUUGUACAAUUUGUUCUUAAUUUCAAUGGUUGCCUGAUAUCAAUCAAACUUUGC